UAAUACGGAGGGUGCAAGCGUUAUCCGGAUUUAUUGGGUUUAAAGGGUCCGUAGGCGGAUCUGUAAGUCAGUGGUGAAAUCUCAUAGCUUAACUAUGAAACUGCCAUUGAUACUGCAGGUCUUGAGUAAAGUAGAAGUGGCUGGAAUAAGUAGUGUAGCGGUGAAAUGCAUAGAUAUUACUUAGAACACCAAUUGCGAAGGCAGGUCACUAUGUUUUAACUGACGCUGAUGGACGAAAGCGUGGGGAGCGAACAGGAUUAGAUACCCUGGUAGUCCACGCCGUAAACGAUGCUAACUCGUUUUUGGGAUUUAGGUUUCAGAGACUAAGCGAAAGUGAUAAGUUAGCCACCUGGGGAGUACGUUCGCAAGAAUGAAACUCAAAGGAAUUGACGGGGGCCCGCACAAGCGGUGGAUUAUGUGGUUUAAUUCGAUGAUACGCGAGGAACCUUACCAAGGCUUAAAUGGGAAUUGACAGGUUUAGAAAUAGACUUUUCUUCGGACAAUUUUCAAGGUGCUGCAUGGUUGUCGUCAGCUCGUGCCCGUGAGGUGGUAGGUUAAGUCCUGCAACGAGCGCAACCCCUGUCACUAGUUGCCAUCAUUAAGUUGGGGGACUUUAGUGAGACUGCCUACGCAAGUAA
RNAcentral lists this ribosomal RNA (638 nucleotides) under uncultured bacterium. RNAcentral describes it as "bacterial SSU rRNA". It matches the Rfam family "Bacterial small subunit ribosomal RNA", at positions 521 to 1165 of the family's 1533-position model. The record is from RNAcentral.